RNAcentral lists this ribosomal RNA (442 nucleotides) under uncultured bacterium. RNAcentral describes it as "partial 16S ribosomal RNA". It matches the Rfam family "Bacterial small subunit ribosomal RNA", at positions 339 to 795 of the family's 1533-position model. The record is from RNAcentral.
CUACGGGUGGCUGCAGUGGGGAAUAUUGGGCAAUGGGCGCAAGCCUGACCCAGCAACGCCGCGUGAGGGAAGAAGGUUUUCGGAUUGUAAACCUCUGUCCCCCCUGACGAAACAAAUGACGGUAAGGGGGGAGGAAGCUCCGGCUAACUACGUGCCAGCAGCCGCGGUAAUACGUAGGGAGCGAGCGUUGUCCGGAAUUACUGGGCGUAAAGGGUGCGUAGGCGGCAUAUUAAGUCAGGUGUGAAAUUUUCGGGCUCAACCCGGAACCUGCAUUUGAAACUGAUAAGCUUGAGUGUGAGAGAGGUAAGUGGAAUUCCUAGUGUAGCGGUGAAAUGCGUAAAUAUUAGGAGGAACACCAGUGGCGAAGGCGACUUACUGGCUCAUAACUGACGCUGAGGCACGAAAGCGUGGGGAGCAAACAGGAUUAGAUACCCCCGUAGUC